UUGAGUGAGUGGCGAACUGGUGAGUAACACGUGGGAAACCUGCCCAGAAGCGGGGGAUAACACCUGGAAACAGAUGCUAAUACCGCAUAACAACUUGGACCGCAUGGUCCGAGUUUGAAAGAUGGCUUCGGCUAUCACUUUUGGAUGGUCCCGCGGCGUAUUAGCUAGAUGGUGGGGUAACGGCUCACCAUGGCAAUGAUACGUAGCCGACCUGAGAGGGUAAUCGGCCACAUUGGGACUGAGACACGGCCCAAACUCCUACGGGAGGCAGCAGUAGGGAAUCUUCCACAAUGGACGAAAGUCUGAUGGAGCAACGCCGCGUGAGUGAAGAAGGGUUUCGGCUCGUAAAACUCUGUUGUUAAAGAAGAACAUAUCUGAGAGUAACUGUUCAGGUAUUGACGGUAUUUAACCAGAAAGCCACGGCUAACUACGUGCCAGCAGCCGCGGUAAUACGUAGGUGGCAAGCGUUGUCCGGAUUUAUUGGGCGUAAAGCGAGCGCAGGCGGUUUUUUAAGUCUGAUGUGAAAGCCUUCGGCUCAACCGAAGAAGUGCAUCGGAAACUGGGAAACUUGAGUGCAGAAGAGGACAGUGGAACUCCAUGUGUAGCGGUGAAAUGCGUAGAUAUAUGGAAGAACACCAGUGGCGAAGGCGGCUGUCUGGUCUGUAACUGACGCUGAGGCUCGAAAGUAUGGGUAGCAAACAGGAUUAGAUACCCUGGUAGUCCAUACCGUAAACGAUGAAUGCUAAGUGUUGGAGGGUUUCCGCCCUUCAGUGCUGCAGCUAACGCAUUAAGCAUUCCGCCUGGGGAGUACGGCCGCAAGGCUGAAACUCAAAGGAAUUGACGGGGGCCCGCACAAGCGGUGGAGCAUGUGGUUUAAUUCGAAGCUACGCGAAGAACCUUACCAGGUCUUGACAUACUAUGCAAAUCUAAGAGAUUAGACGUUCCCUUCGGGGACAUGGAUACAGGUGGUGCAUGGUUGUCGUCAGCUCGUGUCGUGAGAUGUUGGGUUAAGUCCCGCAACGAGCGCAACCCUUAUUAUCAGUUGCCAGCAUUAAGUUGGGCACUCUGGUGAGACUGCCGGUGACAAACCGGAGGAAGGUGGGGAUGACGUCAAAUCAUCAUGCCCCUUAUGACCUGGGCUACACACGUGCUACAAUGGAUGGUACAACGAGUUGCGAACUCGCGAGAGUAAGCUAAUCUCUUAAAGCCAUUCUCAGUUCGGAUUGUAGGCUGCAACUCGCCUACAUGAAGUCGGAAUCGCUAGUAAUCGCGGAUCAGCAUGCCGCGGUGAAUACGUUCCCGGGCCUUGUACACACCGCCCGUCACACCAUGAGAGUUUGUAACACCCAAAGUCGGUGGGGUAACCUUUUAGA
RNAcentral lists this ribosomal RNA (1373 nucleotides) under Lactiplantibacillus plantarum. Its description in RNAcentral is "bacterial SSU rRNA". It matches the Rfam family "Bacterial small subunit ribosomal RNA", at positions 87 to 1447 of the family's 1533-position model. Lineage: Bacteria; Bacillati; Bacillota; Bacilli; Lactobacillales; Lactobacillaceae. The record is from RNAcentral.